Oryctolagus cuniculus (rabbit) is the source of this 4573-nucleotide long non-coding RNA. RefSeq lists it as uncharacterized. The record is from RefSeq and is a predicted model, not a curated record. Lineage: Eukaryota; Metazoa; Chordata; Mammalia; Lagomorpha; Leporidae.
CUGGGUUUGACGUCGCACGUGGUGGGAGGAGCCCGGCGCCGACGCGCGCGACUUCCGGAAGAGGGGCGCUCUUUCUGGGUUCCUGGUAGGGAAGGAGGCGAGGCACGUGAUCCCUGACGCGAGCUCGCACGCACGCACGCCGGUUGGGCGAGACGGGAAGCGGCGUGGGGCGCAGGCGGCGCUUACUCUGGGCCCCACCCCCUCCCCGCCGCCUGACCGCGGCGUCCGCGCCCCUUCAGGGGUGUGCAUCGGUUAACUCCUGCGCCCGGUCGGUGAAAAGCGGUUCGACUUGGCCUUCGGGCGAGAAGUCGUGGAGCUUCUCUGUCUGCGUUUCUCAGUCGGUGGACUGAGGGCCGAGGACUGAGCUGAAGUGCCAGUAUGCAGGCUCCUUCUCAGCCGUCUCGCCUACCCGCAGGACUAAGAAUUCUGCGCCUCUGCAGAGGGGGAACGGGCAGAUUCUCGGGCUAACCCAAGUCAAGCAGGAGAGGCGCGGGCUGCCGAGGUAGCCUGGAGUAGCUCCGAAGCCACCAAGGGAGCCUCGCUCCUGGUGGGACCUUACAAAUUGAUUUCCGUGCACACCCUGGCAUGUGGGGAAGGAGAGAGGGCAGCGCCACCCUUUGGACUGAGGGGGAGAGCAAAACCAGUUGGCCAAUGAGUCUCACCUGUUGGUCCAGGGCCCCUGGAGAAGUCUCCUUUCCUAGUACUGAGGUGGUUGGUGAUGACCUUUAGCCUGCCACCCCCAGUUUGAAAGGGGAUUUGGAAACAGUGUCCCUUAACUUGACCACCGCCUGCGGAAUGGUUAACUCGCGCUGCAAGGCGGGCAGUGAAGGAUUUAAGUGGUUUUAUGCAACAAUUGAAGAUUGCUGUAGGGAGGCUGCCUCUUCAGAGCUUGAACUGUGGUCUUGCAACAGCCUUAUUCACUUGGGGUCAGCACCAAGAAGCGGUUCUAGAUAUUUUUAGCCCUUGGAGGGCGAAGCUCUGUUCGUGUUUCUUUGGUACCACUUGGUGCCUUGCACAUAGGAGGCAGAGUUUGAGAGACACACAGAGAGAAAGGUCUUCCUUCUUUUGGUUCACCCCCCAAGUGGCUGCUACGGCCAGCACUGCGCUGAUCUGAAGCCAGGAGCCAGGUGCUUCCUCCUGGUCUCCCAUGCGGGUGCAGGGCCCAAGGACCUGGGCCAUCCUCCACUGCCUUCCCAGGCCACAGCAGAGAACUGGACUGGAAGAGGAGCAACCGGGACAGAACCUGGCGCCCCAACCGGGACUAGAACCCCGGGUGCCGGUGCCGCAGCGGAGGAUUAUCCUAGUGAGCCUCGGCACUGGCCUUUCUCAUUGUAUUUUAAUCCUUUCUCUUGGUGUUGAGUUUACUUCUCUAGUCCCUCUAUUUCUUAUAAAUGUGGUCUUCAAUGCUGGGCGGUUGAAUAGGUUAAAGAUUUUAAACAAGAUUUUAAAAUAGGUGAUUUUGAAUGGUUUACUUUGGAUAAAUGACACACUAUCUUCUUGAACUAACCCAUCUUUUUAAAAAUUAGUCCUGAAUUAGGUUAAUCUCCCUCCAUGUAAAGUUCUGUGUGGUUUUUUUUUUCUCCUUAGGUCUGUGAGGGCUUUUUUUUUUUUUUUUUUAUUUGAAAGGCAGAGUGACAGGGAGAGGAAGAGGGAUGGACAGAGUUUUCAUCUUUCCUGAAGUGCCUGCAACAGCAAAGACUAGGCCAGGCUGAAGCCUGGAGCCAAGAAUUCCAUCUAGGUCUCUCAUAUGAGUGGCAGGAACUUAAACACUUGGUCCAUCUUCUCCUGUCUCCCAGGUACAUUGGCAGGGAGCUGUAUUGCAAGUGUGAAGUAGCUAGGAUUUGAAUGUGGGAUGCCGGAGUCCAAAGUAGCUGCGUAACUCACUGUACCACAAGGCCCGCCCACCCUUAGUUUCCUACAAACGUCCAACUUCUGCAUCAAUCAUUCAUUUAAAACUUCAGCAGUAAUUGAUAAUUCUUGCCUGAGUCAUCAUUUUACUAGAUGUAAAAUGAUCCUUUCUAAUUCUUUAAGUUCAUCUACAUUUAUUAGUUUGUGUUCUUCCACAGAGAAGUUUUCUGUCUUAAAUCAGGAACAAUACAAACAUUGGAAAAAAAUACUACAGUUCUUUUACUUUUGUUACUGACUUUGCUAGUAAGUUACAUGGUUUUAGAGGAUGACAAAUUUUUCUAGCUUUUAGCUUUUCUGAAUAUUAUUAUGUAUUCAUAAAUUUUUUGUAGGUUUGAUGAUUGUUUCUGAUUCUCAAAUUUUGAUGCUUCUGGAACACUUCUGAGAAUUCUUUCUAUGUAAUUAUAGUUUUCUAAAAUUCCUUUGAAAGUAUUAGAAAUAACACCUGAGUGGGUGGGAGGCUGGAUUUUGAUUAUUUUUCGGUUUUGCCAUGAAUUAGCUGCGUGAUCUUUAAACAAAUUGCAUAACCUCUUUGGUCUUAAUGUUUACAAGCAGAAUUUUGGCAAGGAUACCUGCAGCUCUGAUGCUCUCUUACUUUUUAAAAACCACUACGGAGAUUUAUUUUCCAUAAAAUUCACCCACUUAAAAUACAUAGUUCAGUGACUUUUUAGUAACUUUAUCAGAUGGUGCAGCCAUCAUUGUAAAUAGUUUUACAUGCCUAUUUGCAGCUAGUUCCCACUCCCACCUUCCUACAACUCAGCAACUAAUGCACUUUCUGUUCCCAUAAAUUUGCCUUUUGUGGACAUUUCAUACACACAGAAUCAGUACAGGAUCUCUUGUGUCUAGGUUUGAUUUAGCAUAAGUUUUGAAAAAAGAAUUAUUUGAGAGACAAAGAGCUCCAAUCUGUUGGUUUACUCCCCAAAUGCCCACAAUGUCUCUGGGCCAGGGGCUAAACCUGGGAGCCAGGAUCUCAAUCCAGAUCUCACAUGUGAAUGUCAGGGACCCAAUUGCUUGAGGCCUUACCUCUUCCUCUGAACUAGCAGGAAGCUAAAGUCAGUUGCUGGAGGCAGGCAUCAAACUGAGACACUUUGAUAUGAGAUGUCAGCAUCUCAACCACAAGGCUAAAUGCCCUUUCUCAGUAUGUUUCUGAAGUUCAUCUGUGGCAGAAUGUGGUUCAGUAAUUAAUUUCUUUUUCUUGAUGUAUAGUAUUCCAUUAAAUGGAUUUUUGUUUUGUUUUCUACCUAAUUACUCGUUGGCAGACAUUUAGAGUGCUUCUGGUUUGGGACUGUUAUGAGUAAUGAUGCUAUGAGCAUGUGCAAGUGUCUGUGAGCAUGUCUUUUAUUUCUCUUGGGUAAGUAACAAGGCAUGAAUGUGAUAGAUUAUGUAACAAUUCUUUGUAGAACUUUUGGAGAAGUUGACAAGUUUCUUUUUAAAGUUUUAUUUAUUCAUUUGAAAGAGUGAUACAGAGAGAAAAGGAAAGGCAGAGAGAGAGAGAGGUCUUCCAUCCGCUGGUUUGCUCUCCAACUAGCUGCAACAGCUGGAGUUGCGCUAAUUCGAAGCCAGGAGCCAGGAGCUUCUUCCGGGUCUCCCAUGUGGGUACAGGGACCCAAGGAUUUGGGCCAUCUUCUGCUGCUUUCCCAGGCCAUAGCAGAGAGCUGGACUAGAAGUAGAGCAGCUGGGACUCGAACUGGCGCCCUUAUGGGUUGCCAGCAUUGCAGGCGGCAACUUUACCUGUCAAUCCACAGCACUGGCCCCCAGUUUUCCAAAGUGGUUGUACUGUUUUCUCUUCCUACCAGCACUAUAUGAAGUUUUCCAAUUUGACUUUUUGAUGAUCUGGAAAAACACUUUGAUUGACUUGGGACUGAUAUUUUUUACUACCAACAAGUUACCUUCUCCUUGGACACCAUUAUUAGUCUUUAGUUGUUAGGAAUAUUUCUUAAAGAAAUAGUUCCUAAAAUAUAUCAAUCUGCCUUAAAAUGAAAUUCUGAUUCUUAGUGUUAUCUUUGAACUGUUUUUAUAUAAUCUGUAAUUUUCUUUCUGUAUUUUAAAUUUUCUUAUGAUAGUUACACUGCUAUUAAUAACCACGAGCUAAGCUGUUAUUUAAAAAGAUAUGGUCUUGCCCAAUUACAAUAAUAAAUCAGUAAAUCAGUUACAAUAAUAAAUCUAAAUUUCAUUAGUGCACAAAAUUUGCCUCCUAUCAAACUAACAUCUUUAAUAUCAAUAAUAUGUUUAUAUAUAUACUUAGCAUGUUAGGUGAAUUAGAUAUUUGACAUAAUAUACUACUAGAGUAAGAAAAUGUAAAGGACAAAUGGAAAUCACAUUUUGUGAAGUUAUAAAAUCUGAACGAUGAUUCACAGUGUGGGAGGAAGUACUGCCGUUGUGAAGCUCAUUAGAACCUAGUAGUACUAAGCUCCAGGUUCCAAAAGUGGCAUAUUGUCACUAUAGCAACCACCAUGCUUAUUUGGAUUUGAAACCCAGGCAACGAGUGGUGGAUAGGGACUAUAAGAUGAAUAUGUGCUCUGGUGGGUUGAUAUGCCUGCCUGCUGAUGGUCAAUUGUUUGUUCUGUUUUCCUUACUGUAUUUGUUAUGAUUGAUUCUUUUAAUAGAGAUAUGUUAAUUCUUGCCAAUGUAUUUUUUUCAGGGAGAGAAAUUAAACUGUAUUCUUGUA